RNAcentral lists this ribosomal RNA (497 nucleotides) under uncultured bacterium. Its description in RNAcentral is "partial 16S ribosomal RNA". It matches the Rfam family "Bacterial small subunit ribosomal RNA", at positions 28 to 507 of the family's 1533-position model. The record is from RNAcentral.
GAUGAACGCUGGCGGCGUGCCUAAUACAUGCCAGUCGAGCGAACGGACGAGAAGCUUGCUUCUCUGAUGUUAGCGGCGGACGGGUGAGUAACACGUGGAUAACCUACCUAUAAGACUGGGAUAACUUCGGGAAACCGGAGCUAAUACCGGAUAAUAUUUUGAACCGCAUGGUUCAAAAGUGAAAGACGGUCUUGCUGUCACUUAUAGAUGGAUCCGCGCUGCAUUAGCUAGUUGGUAAGGUAACGGCUUACCAAGGCAACGAUGCAUAGCCGACCUGAGAGGGUGAUCGGCCACACUGGAACUGAGACACGGUCCAGACUCCUACUGGAGGCAGCAGUAGGGAAUCUUCCGCAAUGGGCGAAAGCCUGACGGAGCAACGCCGCGUGAGUGAUGAAGGUCUUCGGAUCGUAAAACUCUGUUAUUAGGGAAGAACAUAUGUGUAAGUAACUGUGCACAUCUUGACGGUACCUAAUCAGAAAGCCACGGCUAACUACGUG